CGUCAAUGUGAGUUGGCUGGAGACAUCGCUUCGCUGAAUAGCGAGCUCGGAGCCAGUACCACUACCAGGAACGUAUACUGAAUCGUGAGAUACAUCCUCCACGACAACACCAGCAGCGUUGCCGUCUUCAUAACGAAUAUGGUGAUGGUCGAUAGAGUCAGCAGCAGCACCGUCUUCGUCAUCGGCGGCGGGGGCAGCGAUCUGAUGAUGAACGUUCAUAGGCUGGGAAUGACCGUACAUUGGCGAGUCUGAGGUCAAAACUGAGGAUUAAGAAGCAUUACAGAGAGGGAAAAGAAGAGAAGAGAAGUGAAUUUGGGGGAAUUGCAUAAGACCCUAACCCUAAUCGAGUGAGAGAGAGUAAAAGAGUGAAAAGCGAAAAACGGGAGAGAGAAGAAGGGUGGAACGAGGAAGAGCCGAAGAGGUGAGACCUGAGGUUUGCAAAA
This 443-nucleotide unclassified non-coding RNA is filed under the name Hevea brasiliensis (rubber tree). The record is from RNAcentral. Lineage: Eukaryota; Viridiplantae; Streptophyta; Magnoliopsida; Malpighiales; Euphorbiaceae.